UACGUAGGGUGCGAGCGUUGUCCGGAAUUAUUGGGCGUGAAGGGCUCGUAGGCGGUUUGUCGCGUCGGGAGUGAAAACCUUGGGCUUAACUCAGGGCUUGCUUUCGAUACGGGCAGACUAGAGGUAUGCAGGGGAGAACGGAAUUCUCGGUGUAGCAGUGAAAUGCGUAGAUAUCGAGAGGAACACCAGUGGCGAAGGCGAGUCCCUGGACAACACCUGACACUGAGGCACGAAAGCUAGGGGAGCAAACAGG
Molecule: ribosomal RNA, 253 nt
Filed under: uncultured bacterium
Lineage: Bacteria
Description: partial 16S ribosomal RNA
Rfam family: Bacterial small subunit ribosomal RNA
Source: RNAcentral